GACGAACGCUGGCGGCGUGCUUAACACAUGCAAGUCGAACGGAAAGGGGCUGUUUCUGUGGGGUACUCGAGAGGAGAACGGAAGAGUAACACGUGAGUAAGCUGACCACGACUUUGGGAUAACUUCAGGAAACUGGGGCUAAUACCGGAUAGGAGGUCAUGCUGCAGGGUGGGGGUUGGAAAGUUUCGGCGGAGGGGGAGGGACUCGCGGCUUAUCAGCUUGUGGUUGGGGGAGUGGCUGAGCAAGGCUUUGACGGGUAGGCGGCCGGAGAGGGUGACCGGCCGCAUUGGGACUGAUGUGCGGCCCCGCCUCCUCCGGCGGGCAGCAGUGGGGGAGAUUGCUCAAUGGGCGGAAGCCGGAUGCAGCAGCGCCGCGGGCGGGAUGUCGGCCUCCGACUUGUAGUGCGCUUUCGUCCGUGACGAAGAGUGAGUGACGGUAACGGGUAAAGAAGCACCGGCUAACUCUGUG
Molecule: ribosomal RNA, 468 nt
Filed under: uncultured bacterium
Lineage: Bacteria
Description: partial 16S ribosomal RNA
Rfam family: Bacterial small subunit ribosomal RNA
Source: RNAcentral